This 581-nucleotide long non-coding RNA is filed under the name Phasianus colchicus (ring-necked pheasant). RNAcentral's name for it is "lncRNA (ENSPCLG00000021187.1)". Lineage: Eukaryota; Metazoa; Chordata; Aves; Galliformes; Phasianidae. The record is from RNAcentral.
AAAAAUGAAGUGGCAAAUAUAGUUAUAAAGAUACUGAUUCCUUUGAAUUGCCAUUCUGUCUGAUUAGAUCAACUUGGCCUACUGGUAAUGAAGAAGUUGGCAGUGCAACCCACUAAUUCAUAAAAGACUUCUCUUGAGGUUAAAGAAUUUGAAUCUACAUCCUGUAUGCAGAUGCAUCUGAGGGGGUCUGACUUCAGCAAGGACCCUGUGAAGCUGAUUUAUGAACUUUGCUGUUCUCUCUGACAAGAAAAGUGAGAUGGCUACAGACGUUGCUGGGCUGAAAGUUCCUGGUGCAUUCCUUGCCAGAGAAAGGGAGCAGAGGGAGUUCUUACUCAACAUGUUGUUUGAUCUGGCACCCAGGAAGAGGAGACAGCAUCAGAAAUGGUACAACGCUUGCCUUUUAACGCUUCAGUACGAACUGCGUUUUGGGGCUGACAAAUAUCACCCACAGAACAGACACCUGCUCAGGGCUAACAGCAGUGCUGAGACUUCUUCACAGUUCCUGAAGUCAAACUUACUUAACUCUGAGUCCAUCUUUAUAGAAAACACCAUUCACAAGGAAUACAAGCUGCCGAAGGGGU